AGCGAACAUUGGCGGUAGGCUUAACACAUGCAAGUCGAGCGAGGCGUAAUAGUCGAGCGGCGAACGGGUGAGUAAUACAUGGGAAUCUACCUUGGAGUGGGGGAUAACAGCCAGAAAUGGCUGCUAAUACCGCAUAAUCCCGAGAGGGGAAAGCGCGCGGCGCUCCAAGAUGAGCCCAUGGCUGAUUAGCUAGUUGGUGGGGUAAAGGCCUACCAAGGCGACGAUCAGUAGCUGGUCUGAGAUGAUGAUCAGCCACACUGGAACUGAGACACGGUCCAGACUCCUACGGGAGGCAGCAGUGGGGAAUCUUGCGCAAUGGGGGCAACCCUGACGCAGCCAUACCGCGUGUGCGAUGAAGGUCUUCGGAUUGUAAAGCACUUUCAGUAGUGACGACGAUGACGGUACCUACAGAAGAAGUCACGGCUAACUUCGUGCCAGCCGCCGCGGUAA
RNAcentral lists this ribosomal RNA (450 nucleotides) under uncultured bacterium. RNAcentral describes it as "partial 16S ribosomal RNA". It matches the Rfam family "Bacterial small subunit ribosomal RNA", at positions 29 to 523 of the family's 1533-position model. The record is from RNAcentral.